RNAcentral lists this long non-coding RNA (1003 nucleotides) under Salvator merianae (Argentine black and white tegu). RNAcentral describes it as "lncRNA (ENSSMRG00000017945.1)". Lineage: Eukaryota; Metazoa; Chordata; Lepidosauria; Squamata; Teiidae. The record is from RNAcentral.
CGAGCAAUUUUCUCUUCUCUUCCAGUUCUUGCACUCUUUUUUCCCCUUCCGUCUCUUUUACCCCUCCUUUGGCUUUUUCCCCCCUUCACUUUCCUUUUUUUCCCCUGCUUUGUUUAAAAAAAAAAACCGGCGCAAAUCAUGCACAAUAUUGUCUUUUGCGGUUUAUCUUCCUGGGGAGAAACUUUCACCUCCUCAGCCGGGCGGUGAACGCGAGACUGAUAGCGGCAAUCAUUCCUGCAGAUAAAUGAAUUGAAAAGACGACACCGUCCCCCCCUUGAUGAAUGGGAGAAGGAGGCGGAGCUACGUGAAGACCGACGUCUCUGCUGAUUGGCUCUUCGCUGUUCCCACUUGUGCUUGUUACUCCCUCCUUUCUCUCCAAGUAAGGGUGCGCAAAACCUCUCCUGCAUCCUGAUUGGCCAGCUCAGCUCAUCAAUCCCAGGUAUUGUGAAACGCAUUGACAUCGCUUUUGACGAACAAGCUUGCACAGGAGUAGCAACUUUUUAUAUAUAUAUAAACACAAAAAAUAUAUUUUUUUCGGCUCCAAAAUACUUCAAAGGUCUCUUUUCUAUAGUGCUUUUGUGGAGACAGAGAAAGAUGUAGAUGUUAUUCCUGUGACUAACUUUGACUUCUUUCGCUUACGCUGGCGGUGAUGGUUGCCUGGCGAUCAAGACCUUUGAACAACACAACUUUUUUAAGGGGUUUGAACAAGGAACCAAGUCAGAAAAUAAGCUGCAAGUUUCCCCUUGAGGAAAAGAAAAGAGCUUUACAGAAAUCUUCCAAAACACUCCAAGAACCCGGCUCCAUUGGCCGGGAGAUGAGGAAGAAGACAACAUCUGCCAAACAUUCUACAAAGCCAAGUCUGCAAAGGCUUACAGAUGUCACUUCCACUGGCUCUCGGAUAGGAGUCAAAAAAACAAACAAAAAAACACCUUGGCUUUCUGGAAAUAGCAGUGAAAGUUUGCCUUGGGGGAAUUUCAAAUCUGCCUCUGGCUACGGGCCCUGA